This 1201-nucleotide ribosomal RNA is filed under the name Salmonella enterica subsp. enterica serovar Enteritidis. RNAcentral's name for it is "partial 23S ribosomal RNA". It matches the Rfam family "Bacterial large subunit ribosomal RNA", at positions 27 to 1269 of the family's 2925-position model. Lineage: Bacteria; Pseudomonadati; Pseudomonadota; Gammaproteobacteria; Enterobacterales; Enterobacteriaceae. The record is from RNAcentral.
GAUGCCCUGGCAGUCAGAGGCGAUGAAGGGCGUACUAAUCUGCGAUAAGCGCCGGUAAGGUGAUAUGAACCGUUAUAACCGGCGAUACCCGAAUGGGGAAACCCAGUGUGAUUCGUCACACUAUCAUUAACUGAAUCCAUAGGUUAAUGAGGCGAACCGGGGGAACUGAAACAUCUAAGUACCCCGAGGAAAAGAAAUCAACCGAGAUUCCCCCAGUAGCGGCGAGCGAACGGGGAGGAGCCCAGAGCCUGAAUCAGCAUGUGUGUUAGUGGAAGCGUCUGGAAAGGCGCGCGAUACAGGGUGACAGCCCCGUACACAAAAGCGCAUGUGCUGUGAGCUCGAUGAGUAGGGCGGGACACGUGGUAUCCUGUCUGAAUAUGGGGGGACCAUCCUCCAAGGCUAAAUACUCCUGACUGACCGAUAGUGAACCAGUACCGUGAGGGAAAGGCGAAAAGAACCCCGGCGAGGGGAGUGAAAAAGAACCUGAAACCGUGUACGUACAAGCAGUGGGAGCACCCUUUGGGUGUGACUGCGUACCUUUUGUAUAAUGGGUCAGCGACUUAUAUUCUGUAGCAAGGUUAACCGAAUAGGGGAGCCGGAGGGAAACCGAGUCUUAACCGGGCGUUAAGUUGCAGGGUAUAGACCCGAAACCCGGUGAUCUAGCCAUGGGCAGGUUGAAGGUUGGGUAACACUAACUGGAGGACCGAACCGACUAAUGUUGAAAAAUUAGCGGAUGACCUGUGGCUGGGGGUGAAAGGCCAAUCAAACCGGGAGAUAGCUGGUUCUCCCCGAAAGCUAUUUAGGUAGCGCCUCGUGAAUUCAUCUCCGGGGGUAGAGCACUGUUUCGGCUAGGGGGCCAUCCCGGCUUACCAACCCGAUGCAAACUGCGAAUACCGGAGAAUGUUAUCACGGGAGACACACGGCGGGUGCUAACGUCCGUCGUGAAGAGGGAAACAACCCAGACCGCCAGCUAAGGUCCCAAAGUCAUGGUUAAGUGGGAAACGAUGUGGGAAGGCCCAGACAGCCAGGAUGUUGGCUUAGAAGCAGCCAUCAUUUAAAGAAAGCGUAAUAGCUCACUGGUCGAGUCGGCCUGCGCGGAAGAUGUAACGGGGCUAAACCAUGCACCGAAGCUGCGGCAGCGACACUGUGUGUUGUUGGGUAGGGGAGCGUUCUGUAAGCCUGUGAAGGUGUGUCGUGAGGC